CCGACGAUGGAUAGGGGUUCUGAGAGGAAGGUCCCCCACAUUGGUACUGAGACACGGACCAAACUCCUACGGGAGGCAGCAGUGAGGAAUAUUGGUCAAUGGGCGUAAGCCUGAACCAGCCAAGUCGCGUGAGGGAUGAAGGUUCUAUGGAUCGUAAACCUCUUUUAUAAGGGAAUAAAGUGCGGGACGUGUCCCGUUUUGUAUGUACCUUAUGAAUAAGGAUCGGCUAACUCCGUGCCAGCAGCCGCGGUAAUACGGAGGAUCCGAGCGUUAUCCGGAUUUAUUGGGUUUAAAGGGUGCGUAGGCGGCCUUUUAAGUCAGCGGUGAAAGUCUGUGGCUCAACCAUAGAAUUGCCGUUGAAACUGGGAGGCUUGAGUAUGUUUGAGGCAGGCGGAAUGCGUGGUGUAGCGGUGAAAUGCUUAGAUAUCACGCAGAACCCCGAUUGCGAAGGCAGCCUGCCAAGCCAUGACUGACGCUGAUGCACGAAAGCGUGGGGAUCAAACAGGAUUAGAUACCCUGGUAGUCCACGCAGUAAACGAUGAUCACUAGCUGUUUGCGAUACACAGUAA
This 569-nucleotide ribosomal RNA is filed under the name uncultured bacterium. Its description in RNAcentral is "bacterial SSU rRNA". It matches the Rfam family "Bacterial small subunit ribosomal RNA", at positions 273 to 842 of the family's 1533-position model. The record is from RNAcentral.